GCGUUCGCGAGUCGGCUUUUCCGCCCUGACCGCACCCCUGAUGCCUCCCGGCCGCCGUAGGCGAAGGUUCGCGGAAGAGGGGAGCCGGCGCUCACCUGAGCUGACUCAGAAAUUGGAAUGAGUUGUCUGUGGAUCCUCUAAGGAGCCUGGACAUGGUGAAGAGAAUGUCUUGACCAUCAGGAGACAGCUUACCUUGUUGAAUCUUGAUCACUUCUUCUGACCACUUUGGAUCUUAAAAGAACAAGAUUUCACCUUCAGUGCUGUGAUCAUCGUUCAACUAUCCAAAAGAUUGUCGCUGAGAAGUGGGAUUGACAUGGUCUCAGGAUGUGGACUCAAAACCAAUGGAAGGAAAAAAUUGAGCUCUGGAAAUUUUUGUGGAAGAAUAAAGGCUGCCUCACAGAGGAGUGAGCUUUCUGUCAU
Molecule: long non-coding RNA, 420 nt
Organism: Pongo pygmaeus (Bornean orangutan)
Lineage: Eukaryota; Metazoa; Chordata; Mammalia; Primates; Hominidae
Exons: 3
Source: RefSeq, a predicted model, not a curated record